RNAcentral lists this long non-coding RNA (236 nucleotides) under Hordeum vulgare. Its description in RNAcentral is "long non-coding RNA (HVUL_LNC001476)". Lineage: Eukaryota; Viridiplantae; Streptophyta; Magnoliopsida; Poales; Poaceae. The record is from RNAcentral.
GUAGCUAUGUGUUUGAUCUCUCUCUCUCGUGUUCUUGAGAUGUCUUGAUCUCGAUGUACCAUGGGCUUUGCUACUAUAGUUGGAUCUUAUGAUGUUCUUCCCCCUCUCCCUCUUGUAAUGAAUUGAGUUUCUCCUUUGGAGUUAUCUUAUCGGAUUGAGUCUUUGAGAACACUUGAUGUAUGUCUUGCACGUGUCUAUCUGCUGUGAUCAACUUGCGGGUUUGUGACAUUGGGAAC